AUGCAAACUCGUUUGACGCAAGUGUUUACUCGUGAUGCAGUUAAGGAGAACAAAACUGUUUUGAAGAGGAAGAUUUCAGAUCGAAAUCCUCAUGGCACACAGAGGUGUAGCCCACGUGUGAAAGCUGGUUCCCAACCUGGUAAUAGCAAAGCUGAUGGGGAUAGUGUUGCUGUGAAGAUUGGUCCAAGAAAACUUGGUGGCUCCCCUGUUCGUCAUAGUCCACGGGUUUUGACAAAUAAGAAGCCUUCUUCGCCUCCUCUUCGAGAGCGCUCUUUGUUGAAAGAAAAUAAUAAGCGUAAAGUUCAUCCUGCGAAGGUGAAGAAAGGUGUGAAGAAGCGUGCUUGUGUCGAAGCUGAAGAUGUUGUAUCUGAACAAGAUGAUAUCGAAGUUGAUUCUGAAGAUGAAUUUGCAGUGCUUGUUAGCGUUAUGAGUCCGGUGAAGCCGGUGGGAGGCAAUGCCGGAAAAGUUGCCUUGGAUGAAGAUACGAUGACUCUUGACAUGGGUGAGGCUAAUAAGAAGCUUCGCAUCACUAGCGAUGGUAUACAUCAACUAUUUGGGUUCCCUCGUGGUGGUCGUUCUCCGCCAAGGCCGUCGGAGGAUGGAUAUGACGACGCUCUGAUGAAGUUAAGAUCGGAGCUUGACAUUAGCAGGAACAAAGAUAUCAAGACAAAGGAUUUGAGGAAUAAGCUCAAGGUGCACGUCAAGGAUCCUAGCAAAGAUGACCUUGCUCUGAAAGUGUUCUUCAUUAUUGUGUUUAUGAAGGUUGUGUUGCCUGGUGCCGCCCCGCGUGUUUCUAGAGAGGCAGCAAUGUUUGAGGGUCUCGUCUUUGAGGACAUGGCUAAUAUGGAUUAUUGUCAGCUGAUGGUUGAUGAGCUUAGAAGGGCUGUUGUCAGGUACCAAGAUGGUGUUACCCUUGGGAAGGCAAUCACAGGCUAUGCUAUAGGGCCUGUACUAAUUUACCUUGACUGCCUUAUCCGUGGCAACACUGCGGAGCCUGACAUGCGAGUCCCCCGCAUAUGUUUCAUGGAUCCUGUCAAGCUUUCUGAUCUGGUUGAUGCAGAUUUGAUAAAAAAGGCAAUGCAGAUCCAAAGACUUGGGUGUUUGGGAAGCUUCCGGUAUGAUUUUUAG
This 1128-nucleotide ribosomal RNA is filed under the name Triticum aestivum (bread wheat). RNAcentral describes it as "partial small subunit ribosomal RNA". Lineage: Eukaryota; Viridiplantae; Streptophyta; Magnoliopsida; Poales; Poaceae. The record is from RNAcentral.